This 184-nucleotide unclassified non-coding RNA is filed under the name uncultured Arthrobotrys. RNAcentral's name for it is "sequence contains ITS2". The record is from RNAcentral. Lineage: Eukaryota; Fungi; Ascomycota; Orbiliomycetes; Orbiliales; Orbiliaceae.
CAACCCUCAGCUACCCGCUGGUUUUGAACCCGAACGGUGCCCCCUAACCGGGGAACCGAGCCGGUUUUAAAGUUGUAAGCUCUGCUGGCCGCUCCGCCCCAACCAGAACAUAGUAAAAUACUACUUUUGUUAGGGUCAAGCGGAACGGUUUUUCGGCCUGAACAAAACCUACCCAUUUUUCAAG